CCAACUCGCGACCAUACGAAUAACGCCAGCGAACUGUUUUAGUGCUGAUCGGCCAAAAAGAACGCUACGGAUGUUUACACAGCAAGUCGAAGGUAACAGGUUUUGGAGCGACGUGGGCGAGCUGGCAAUAAACAUCGGCACGGCUCGUGGGGUUAGAAACUACGCGAUAGCUACUAAACCGCAUACUACUACUGAGAGAGCGUUGGAUGCAAGACUUUGCGCGAUUGGAGCGGCCGAGACAGCCAGGUAGGGUGGAAGAGAGGUCACCAAGCAGACUAUUGUAGCUGGUUGAGAGGACAACACCUACACUGGGACUGAAACACGGCUCAACUUCUACGGGAGGCAGCAGUGGGGAAUCUUGGACAAUGGGCGCAAGCCUUGAUUCCACCCUGCCCGCGUGCAAGAUGAAGGCCUUUCGGGUUUGUAAACUGCUUUUUGUACAGAACAAAAAUUCUCUUUUCUAAUAAAGAGGGGAUCAUGACCGGUACCGUAAAAAUAAGCACCGUCUAACUACGUGCCAGCAGCCGCGGUAAUUACGGUAGGGGGUGCAAGCGUUAAUCGGAAUUACUGGGGCGUAAAGCGUGCGCAGGGCGGUGUAAUUUAAAAACAGUUGUUAAACUCCCCCGGGCUUCAACCUGGGAACUGCAUCUGUGACUGCAUCCGCUGGAGUGCGGAAAAAGGGGGAAAUGGAAUUUCCCCGUGUGUACCAUUUGAAUUGGCUUAAAUUUGCGCGGAAGGCACCCCGGUGGGGGCAAAGGCCAUUCCCCGUGGGGCCUGCACUGGACGCUCAUGAACGAAAGGCGUGGGGGGAGCAAAACAAGGAUUAGAUACCCCUGAUAGUCCCACGCCCUAACGAUGUCCACACUGUGGUUUGUUGGGGUCUCUUCCUGACUCAGUAACGAGCUAACGCGUGAGUCGACCGCCUGGGAGAGUACCGGCCGCGUGGUUCGCAUACUUCAAUUGGAUGUGACGAGCACCGCCAAGACUGUGUGAGAUGAAAAUAGUAUGUGUAUUUAUACUACUA
This 1024-nucleotide ribosomal RNA is filed under the name uncultured bacterium. RNAcentral describes it as "bacterial SSU rRNA". It matches the Rfam family "Bacterial small subunit ribosomal RNA". The record is from RNAcentral.